AUUGAACGCUGGCGGCAGGCCUAACACAUGCAAGUCGAACGAGUGGCGGACGGGUGAGUAAUGUCUGGGAAACUGCCUGAUGGAGGGGGAUAACUACUGGAAACGGUAGCUAAUACCGCAUACCAUCAGAUGUGCCCAGAUGUGAAUAGCUUGUUGGUGGGGUAACGGUUCACACAGGCGACGAUCCCUAGCUGGUCUGAGAGGAUGACCAGCCACACUGUAACUGAGACACGGUCCAGACUCCGACGAGAGGCAGCAGUGGGGAAUAUGGCACAAUGGGCGCAAGCCGGAUGCAGCCAUGCGGCGUGUAUGAAGAAGGCGUUCGGGUUGUAAAGUACUUUCAGCGGGGAGGCGUUACCCGCAGAAGAAGCACCGGCUAACUCCGUGCCAGCAGCCGCGGUAAUUC
RNAcentral lists this ribosomal RNA (406 nucleotides) under uncultured bacterium. RNAcentral's name for it is "partial 16S ribosomal RNA". It matches the Rfam family "Bacterial small subunit ribosomal RNA", at positions 30 to 526 of the family's 1533-position model. The record is from RNAcentral.